Molecule: ribosomal RNA, 446 nt
Filed under: uncultured bacterium
Lineage: Bacteria
Description: partial 16S ribosomal RNA
Rfam family: Bacterial small subunit ribosomal RNA
Source: RNAcentral
CCUACGGGGUGCAGCAGUCGAGAAUCAUUCACAAUGGGGGAAACCCUGAUGGUGCGACGCCGCGUGGGGGAAUGAAGGUCUUCGGAUUGUAAACCCCUGUCAUGUGGGAGCAAAUUAAAAAGAUAGUACCACAAGAGGAAGAGACGGCUAACUCUGUGCCAGCAGCCGCGGUAAUACAGAGGUCUCAAGCGUUGUUCGGAAUCACUGGGCGUAAAGCGUGCGUAGGCUGUUUCGUAAGUCGUGUGUGAAAGGCGCGGGCUCAACCCGCGGACGGCACAUGAUACUGCGAGACUAGAGUGAUGGAGGGGGAACCGGAAUUCUCGGUGUAGCAGUGAAAUGCGUAGAUAUCGAGAGGAACACUCGUGGCGAAGGCGGGUUCCUGGACAUUAACUGACGCUGAGGCACGAAGGCCAGGGGAGCGAAAGGGAUUAGAUACCCCAGUAGUC